This 357-nucleotide ribosomal RNA is filed under the name uncultured Staphylococcus sp. RNAcentral describes it as "bacterial SSU rRNA". It matches the Rfam family "Bacterial small subunit ribosomal RNA", at positions 8 to 354 of the family's 1533-position model. Lineage: Bacteria; Bacillati; Bacillota; Bacilli; Caryophanales; Staphylococcaceae. The record is from RNAcentral.
AGAGUUUGAUCCUGGCUCAGGAUGAACGCUGGCGGCGUGCCUAAUACAUGCAAGUCGAGCGAACGGACGAGAGGCUUGCUUCUCUGAUGUUAGCGGCGGACGGGUGAGUAACACGUGGAUAACCUACCUAUAAGACUGGGAUAACUUCGGGAAACCGGAGCUAAUACCGGAUAAUAUUUUGAACCGCAUGGUUCAAAAGUGAAAGACGGUCUUGCUGUCACUUAUAGAUGGAUCCGCGCUGCAUUAGCUAGUUGGUAAGGUAACGGCUUACCGAGGCAACGAUGCAUAGCCGACCUGAGAGGGUGAUCGGCCACACUGGAACUGAGACACGGUCCAGACUCCUACGGGAGGCAGCAG